This 803-nucleotide long non-coding RNA is filed under the name Cricetulus griseus (Chinese hamster). RNAcentral describes it as "lncRNA (ENSCGRG00000025599.1)". The record is from RNAcentral. Lineage: Eukaryota; Metazoa; Chordata; Mammalia; Rodentia; Cricetidae.
CCACACUCAAUUAUCUGAAUACAGUUUUUUGCCUUGUCCAUUUCCUUGGAAUCAGGAGUGCAGGCAUUGCCUGAUUCUGUCCCAGGAACACACUAGAUAGCUGUGAUCCGAAGCAAACAGACCCCAUGCUGACUGAGGACAAAACUCCCUUUCUUGAAAAUGUUAAAAUCUGGGUACCCAGGACGCCAGGAGCCCAGCUGGACAACUUGGGCUAUGCUUCUUGCUCCAGGCUGGCCCUCCUUCCCCAUCGCCCCUCUCUGUCCUAAUUAGCCUGCUGUCUGCUGGUCUAUUCAGGGUCCACUAUCUUUUCAGCCUCUGAUUCAGAUCCGUGGAUCUCAGCCUCAGGCCCAGCUCUGGCUCCAGCUUUGCCCCCUGUUCCUGCUUCUUUCCUUGUCAGCCCUGGCAUCCUGUCCGCUGAGCCAGCAUAUUGUCCUUGGCGGUCUCCAAAGAAGGAAUCUUCCAAGAAUUCCCAGCACUGGAAGGAGCCUAAGGUCAGGGGGAACUUGACAUAUCACCUGUACAUGCCUCCAGAAGGGAGACAAGGGCCUAGGGCAGAUCUCCAAGCAGAAGGAUCAACCUUGGGUCCCCCGGGGCCACCUCUGUGGGAAGAGAAAAAUUCACAGAGUCCACACCCUCGGAUGAAGCCCUCCUCACCAGGAGACUCCAGUCCCUCACCCCCUUCACACAAGCUGGAACUUCAGACCCUUAAAUUGGAAGAGCUGACGGUGAGUUUAGUGUGCGGUGUCCCAGGGCUGGACACAGACCUCGUAAACCCGUGGCCCCUGCCCUAGGGCAGUUUUUCU